AAAUUGAAGAGUUUGAUCAUGGCUCAGAUUGAACGCUGGCGGCAGGCCUAACACAUGCAAGUCGAACGGUAACAGGAAACAGCUUGCUGUUUCACUGACGAGUGGCGGACGGGUGAGUAAUGUCUGGGAAACUGCCUGAUGGAGGGGGAUAACUACUGGAAACGGUAGCUAAUACCGCAUAA
Molecule: ribosomal RNA, 182 nt
Filed under: Escherichia coli
Lineage: Bacteria; Pseudomonadati; Pseudomonadota; Gammaproteobacteria; Enterobacterales; Enterobacteriaceae
Description: partial 16S ribosomal RNA
Rfam family: Bacterial small subunit ribosomal RNA
Source: RNAcentral